Molecule: ribosomal RNA, 304 nt
Filed under: uncultured bacterium
Lineage: Bacteria
Description: partial 16S ribosomal RNA
Rfam family: Bacterial small subunit ribosomal RNA
Source: RNAcentral
CAGCAGUAGCCGCGGGAAUACGUAGGGUGCAAGCGUUAAUCGGAAUUACUGGGCGUAAAGCGUGCGCAGGCGGUCCGCUAAGACAGAUGUGAAAUCCCCGGGCUUAACCUGGGAACUGCAUUUGUGACUGGCGGGCUAGAGUAUGGCAGAGGGGGGUAGAAUUCCACGUGUAGCAGUGAAAUGCGUAGAGAUGUGGAGGAACACCGAUGGCGAAGGCAGCCCCCUGUGCCAAUACUGACGCUCAUGCACGAAAGCGUGGGGAGCAAACAGGAUUAGAUACCCCGGUAGUCCCUGUCUCUUAUAC